AAGACCUUGCGCUUUUGGAGCGGCCGAUGCCUGAUUAGCUUGUUGGUAAGGUAAAAGCUUACCAAGGCUUCGAUCAGUAGCUGGUCUGAGAGGACGGCCAGCCACACUGGGACUGAGACACGGCCCAGACUCCUACGGGAGGCAGCAGUGAGGAAUUUUGGACAAUGGGGGCAACCCUGAUCCAGCCAUGCCGCGUGAGUGAAGAAGGCCUUCGGGUUGUAAAGCUCUUUCAGCCGGAACGAAACGGUUACGGUUAAUACCCGUGAUUACUGACGGUACCGGAAGAAGAAGCACCGGCUAACUACGUGCCAGCAGCCGCGGUAAUACGUAGGGUGCGAGCGUUAAUCGGAAUUACUGGGCGUAAAGCGUGCGCAGGUGGUUUUGUAAGUCAGAUGUGAAAGCCCCGGGCUCAACCUGGGAACU
This 423-nucleotide ribosomal RNA is filed under the name uncultured bacterium. RNAcentral's name for it is "bacterial SSU rRNA". It matches the Rfam family "Bacterial small subunit ribosomal RNA", at positions 207 to 622 of the family's 1533-position model. The record is from RNAcentral.